GGCGUACGUGAGCCAAGGGGUGAUUAACGCUGCCCCAUUUGUUGCUGUCGAGGUAGAGCGAAAAUGUCACCUGCAAAGCACACACCUCUGUUCUUUUGUGAAGGAGGCCUUUUUGCCAAUGAUGAGAGACAAUGGAAGGAAGGCAGGCUUGGAGAAGAAGCUCCAACAUAUGAUUGAGCUGCUGCCUGUGAUGGCCGCAUCAGAGUUUCAUGCAAAUGAAAGCAAAUGGGCCUCAACUCAAGGAAAAUAAGGAGGACUCUUACACCCAAGUAACGCUGGCCAAGGACUUCAUCUCCAAAGAAAGGAAGGCCAAAGCCAGAAUUGAACCCACAACAACUGCGCUGUGAGGCGGACGGACGGACGUGCUAACCGGUGUGCCGCUGUUGUUUGGAGCCUACUGAAAGACUUUGGGAUUUUAUCAAGCAUGACUGUACAACUCAUGGCUUAUUCCCAG
This is a long non-coding RNA of Syngnathus acus (greater pipefish), 454 nucleotides long. RefSeq lists it as uncharacterized. The record is from RefSeq and is a predicted model, not a curated record. NCBI's taxonomy places the organism in Eukaryota, Metazoa, Chordata, Actinopteri, Syngnathiformes, Syngnathidae. The transcript has 3 exons.